Molecule: long non-coding RNA, 919 nt
Organism: Pongo pygmaeus (Bornean orangutan)
Lineage: Eukaryota; Metazoa; Chordata; Mammalia; Primates; Hominidae
Exons: 4
Source: RefSeq, a predicted model, not a curated record
AGGGCCCUUUCCUGCGCCGCAGCUCCGGGCGCCCAGGCGCCCCCUCGCCCCCGCGGUGACGCGCCGCCGAGCCGUGGGAAGGCCCUUGGCGGUCGCCGCCUUCACCGACGGCUGGGAGGUCCGGCUCUGCUUCGCUGUCUCGGCUGCCGCGCGCUGGGUGGCCUUGGGCAGGUGCCCUGGGAGGCCCCACGGGGAAGCCAGGAGUCCCUGUCUGUCCCUGGGUCGCCUGGGCGCUGCUGGCCUGUAGAGGCGCCGCUUCGAUGCCCGGGAUUCCGCAAGGGUCAACCCCGCGCGCUCCUGCCUCCUGGUGUUCUGGAGGCAGCAGACACAUCAAGUUUGUCGAGGGGUCAGGAGAUCAUCUCUGAGGAUGAAUCACUUAUGCAGAGACCCGAAUGGAGAGAGGGAAUCUAAGAAGAUCUGGGGAAGAGGAUUCCAGGCAGAAGAAACAGCAAGUGGAAAGCCCUGAGGUGCUGUAUGAGCUAGUGGUGGAACUGCUCCCUCACCUUCACGAAAGGGAAGGCUGGCCCGGGACUGAAGGGCUCGUUCUCAUGUUCCAGCUGGUAGCGCACGUACUCCUCCACGCCCUGCUCCGUGUAGAUCCGCUGCUCCUCGUCCAUGCGAAACAAGGCUCGGGAGGACACAGCAAUGGUGACUGCAUUCUGAGGCUUGGGCUACAGAGGCCUUACAAUCUCAAGAUGCUCUUUGAUGAAACAGAUCACAGGGGAAGCCUUAUUCUGAGGUUUGCUUAAAAAAAAAUCUGUGGCCUUCAAGCUGCUAAAAUGUCCACCUGAUACAUUAGAGUGAGUUGGGUUUUAUUACACAUUUUUAAUUGUUUAAAACAUAGUCUGAAGAAGAAAGAAAAUAAAUUGGAUUCACAUGUGUGCAGACUCCCUGAAACAUGGGGCUUGGGGAAGCUAGU